AUGUGUACAACAGAUUGGAGGACAUUCCUUACGAUUAUGUAAUGAAAGGCAAUGCUCCUGAGCGAAUUUCUUUAGGCACUGGUGGUGCUGCUGGCCCGUCUGUUGUAUCAGUGGACGCAAGGCAACCAAAUUCUAUUGCUAAUAACCUUGAGGCUUAUCAAGAUCACCAAGGUACCAGUCCCUGAAUUCUGAGUUUCUGACUACUCCUUGAGUUCAUUGCAAUGCUUAAUUGUCUGAUGCCGGAAUGUCUGUUUGGCCCGUCUGUUGUAUCAGUGGACGCAAGGCAACCAAAUUCUAUUGCUAAUAACCUUGAGGCUUAUCAAGGUUACCCAGGUACCAGUCCCUGAAUUCUGAGUUUCUGACUACUCCUUGAGUUCAUUGCAAUGCUUAAUUGUCUGAUGCCAGAAUGUCUGUUUCAAUUUAUAAGGAGCUGGAGCACCUGAAAAUUGUCC
This 452-nucleotide long non-coding RNA is filed under the name Setaria italica (foxtail millet). RNAcentral describes it as "long non-coding RNA (SITA_LNC002507)". The record is from RNAcentral. Lineage: Eukaryota; Viridiplantae; Streptophyta; Magnoliopsida; Poales; Poaceae.